CCUACGGGAGGCAGCAGUGAGGAAUAUUGGUCAAUGGACGAGAGUCUGAACCAGCCAAGUAGCGUGAAGGAUGACUGCCCUAUGGGUUGUAAACUUCUUUUAUAUGGGAAUAAAACGUUCCACGUGUGGGAUUUUGUAUGUACCAUAUGAAUAAGGAUCGGCUAACUCCGUGCCAGCAGCCGCGGUAAUACGGAGGAUCCGAGCGUUAUCCGGAUUUAUUGGGUUUAAAGGGAGCGUAGGUGGAUUGUUAAGUCAGUUGUGAAAGUUUGCGGCUCAACCGUAAAAUUGCAGUUGAAACUGGCAGUCUUGAGUACAGUAGAGGUGGGCGGAAUUCGUGGUGUAGCGGUGAAAUGCUUAGAUAUCACGAAGAACUCCGAUUGCGAAGGCAGUUCACUGGACUGCAACUGACACUGAGGCUCGAAAGUGGGGGUAUCAAACAGGAUUAGAUACCCCAGUAGUC
Molecule: ribosomal RNA, 460 nt
Filed under: uncultured bacterium
Lineage: Bacteria
Description: partial 16S ribosomal RNA
Rfam family: Bacterial small subunit ribosomal RNA
Source: RNAcentral